This 372-nucleotide ribosomal RNA is filed under the name uncultured bacterium. RNAcentral describes it as "bacterial SSU rRNA". It matches the Rfam family "Bacterial small subunit ribosomal RNA", at positions 525 to 896 of the family's 1533-position model. The record is from RNAcentral.
ACGGGGGGUGCAAGCGUUACUCGGAAUCACUGGGCGUAAAGAGCAUGUAGGCGGAUUAAUAAGUUUGAAGUGAAAUCCUAUAGCUUAACUAUAGAACUGCUUUGAAAACUGUUAAUCUAGAAUGUGGGAGAGGUAGAUGGAAUUUCUGGUGUAGGGGUAAAAUCCGUAGAGAUCAGAAGGAAUACCGAUUGCGAAGGCGAUCUACUGGAACAUUAUUGACGCUGAGAUGCGAAAGCGUGGGGAGCAAACAGGAUUAGAUACCCUGGUAGUCCACGCCCUAAACGAUGUACACUAGUUGUUGUGAGACUUGAUCUUGCAGUAAUGCAGUUAACACAUUAAGUGUACCGCCUGGGGAGUACGGUCGCAAGAUUA